UCCCUGGUGGUCUAGUGGUUAAGAUUCUGAGCUUCCAGUGCAGGGAAUCUGGAUUCAAUUCUUGGUCAGGGAA
RNAcentral lists this transfer RNA (73 nucleotides) under Bos taurus (domestic cattle). It matches the Rfam family "tRNA". From Rfam's summary of the family: Transfer RNA (tRNA) molecules are approximately 80 nucleotides in length. Their secondary structure includes four short double-helical elements and three loops (D, anti-codon, and T loops). Lineage: Eukaryota; Metazoa; Chordata; Mammalia; Artiodactyla; Bovidae. The record is from Rfam by way of RNAcentral. RNAcentral also lists the same sequence under 1 other name.